Molecule: ribosomal RNA, 654 nt
Filed under: Alicyclobacillus vulcanalis
Lineage: Bacteria; Bacillati; Bacillota; Bacilli; Caryophanales; Alicyclobacillaceae
Description: bacterial SSU rRNA
Rfam family: Bacterial small subunit ribosomal RNA
Source: RNAcentral
GCGGACCUCUUCGGAGGUCAGCGGCGGACGGGUGAGGAACACGUGGGUAAUCUGCCUUUCAGACUGGAAUAACGCCCGGAAACGGGCGCUAAUGCCGGAUACGCCCGAUGGGAGGCAUCUUUUGUCGGGGAAAGGGCCAACCGGUCCGCUGAGAGAGGAGCCCGCGGCGCAUUAGCUCGUUGGCGGGGUAACGGCCCACCAAGGCGACGAUGCGUAGCCGGCCUGAGAGGGUGAACGGCCACACUGGGACUGAGACACGGCCCAGACUCCUACGGGAGGCAGCAGUAGGGAAUCUUCCGCAAUGGGCGCAAGCCUGACGGAGCAACGCCGCGUGAGCGAAGAAGGCCUUCGGGUUGUAAAGCUCUGUUGCUCGGGGAGAGUGGCGCGGGGAGGGGAAAGCCCUGCGCGAGACGGUACCGAGUGAGGAAGCCCCGGCUAACUACGUGCCAGCAGCCGCGGUAAAACGUAGGGGGCGAGCGUUGUCCGGAAUCACUGGGCGUAAAGGGUGCGUAGGCGGUCGAGCAAGUCUGGAGUGAAAGUCCGUGGCUCAACCAUGGGAUGGCUCUGGAAACUGCUUGACUUGAGUGCUGGAGAGGCAAGGGGAAUUCCACGUGUAGCGGUGAAAUGCGUAGAGAUGUGGAGGAAUACCAGUGG